RNAcentral lists this ribosomal RNA (510 nucleotides) under uncultured bacterium. RNAcentral's name for it is "partial 16S ribosomal RNA". It matches the Rfam family "Bacterial small subunit ribosomal RNA", at positions 28 to 507 of the family's 1533-position model. The record is from RNAcentral.
GACGAACGCUGGCGGCGUGCUUAACACAUGCAAGUCGAACGAAGAGCGAUGGAAGCUUGCUUCUAUCAAUCUUAGUGGCGAACGGGUGAGUAACGCGUAAUCAACCUGCCCUUCAGAGGGGGACAACAGUUGGAAACGACUGCUAAUACCGCAUACGAUCUAAUCUCGGCAUCGAGGAUAGAUGAAAGGUGGCCUCUACAUGUAAGCUAUCACUGAAGGAGGGGAUUGCGUCUGAUUAGCUAGUUGGAGGGGUAACGGCCCACCAAGGCGAUGAUCAGUAGCCGGUCUGAGAGGAUGAACGGCCACAUUGGGACUGAGACACGGCCCAGACUCCUACGGGAGGCAGCAGUGGGGAAUCUUCCGCAAUGGACGAAAGUCUGACGGAGCAACGCCGCGUGAGUGAUGACGGCCUUCGGGUUGUAAAGCUCUGUUAAUCGGGACGAAAGGCCUUCCUGCGAAUAGUGAGAAGGAUUGACGGUACCGGAAUAGAAAGCCACGGCUAACUACGUG